Molecule: ribosomal RNA, 169 nt
Filed under: Giacomia mirabilis f. nigrescens
Lineage: Eukaryota; Fungi; Basidiomycota; Agaricomycetes; Agaricales
Also listed under: 1 other name
Description: Leucopaxillus mirabilis var. nigrescens 5.8S ribosomal RNA
Rfam family: 5.8S ribosomal RNA
About the family: 5.8S ribosomal RNA (5.8S rRNA) is a component of the large subunit of the eukaryotic ribosome. It is transcribed by RNA polymerase I as part of the 45S precursor that also contains 18S and 28S rRNA.
Source: RNAcentral
UAAACUUAUACAACUUUCAACAACGGAUCUCUUGGCUCUCGCAUCGAUGAAGAACGCAGCGAAAUGCGAUAAGUAAUGUGAAUUGCAGAAUUCAGUGAAUCAUCGAAUCUUUGAACGCACCUUGCGCUCCUUGGUAUUCCGAGGAGCAUGCCUGUUUGAGUGUCAUUAA